RNAcentral lists this ribosomal RNA (2202 nucleotides) under Triticum aestivum (bread wheat). RNAcentral describes it as "partial small subunit ribosomal RNA". The record is from RNAcentral. Lineage: Eukaryota; Viridiplantae; Streptophyta; Magnoliopsida; Poales; Poaceae.
AUGAGUGUGGAGUACAAUAUGGAUGAAGCUUUGAAAGCACGAAAUACUGCAGAGAGCAAGUUUCAUGCGCGUGACCUCAGGGGCGCACGCAAGUAUGCGGUCAAGGCCCAGAAUCUCUGCCCAUCGCUUGAGGGCAUAUCCCAGAUGGCGUCGACUCUUGAAGUUCAUCUUGCAGCAGAGUCCAAGAUUGAUGGAGAGAGUGAUUGGUACCGGAUCUUGUCCCUGCCCGCCUUUGCAGAUGAAGAGGAUGUGAAGAAGCAGUACAGGAAGCUAGCUCUCCAGCUGCACCCUGAUAAGAACAAGUCAGUCGGUGCUGAGGAGGCCUUUAAACUGAUCUCUGAGGCGUGGAGUGUGUUGUCUGAUACUAGUCGGAAGGCAAUUUAUGAUCAGAAGAGGUCAGAUCAUUCUGUUGUCAACGUAACCAAUGGCAUGUAUACGUAUGACAAGAAGGCGACCAAGAGAGCUCGAAAGAAUGCUGCUGCUGCCGCCGCCGCCGCCGCUGCUGCUGCGGCUGCUGCUGAGGCUACUGCUCGUCCUGCUGGUGUUGAUACUUUCUGGACAUCUUGCAAUCGCUGCCGUAUGCAGUAUGAGUACUUAAGAAUGUAUCUUAAUCAUAACCUUCUGUGCCCAAACUGCCAUCAUGCGUUCAUGGCGGUAGAGACUGGAUUUCCUUGCAACGGAAGCAGUUCAUCUUUCUCCUGGUCAACCAAGCAGCAGCCACAGAACCACAGUUCCACCAAACAUUCAUAUGGCUCAACAAGCAGGACUUCUAGCAUUCCGGGGACAGGGCAUGUGGGGUAUCAGCAAGAUAGCACUUAUGAUUCCUACAACAGUCAAAGCUUUCAGUGGAAUCAGUACUCCAAGACAGCGCCUGCAGCUGACACAAAUGCUUACAGUACCCAGGCUUCCGAGAAACCUAGAAGAAAUGAAGAGAGCUACAGCUACAACUACCCUGAAAGUGGAAACACAUGUGACCCUGAGAGAACUACUUCAAGGCGUGGCCGGUUUGCAAAGCGGAGAAGGCAUAGUAAUGAUUAUACUACUGUGGAUUAUGCUGGAGAUAACAAAGAAACAGUGGUUGCAAGCACAGAGACAAAUGCUUUCACAGAUGUGGGGCGGGUUAAUGGCACUUCAGUGGAAAAGAUGAGAUCUGCAGUGAGUGUAAGGAGAGCCAAUGUUUUGAGAGAGAUCUCCCAGAUUGAUACACGGGGUCUACUUGUUGAGAAAGCCAAAGAAGCCGUCCGGGGAAAAUUGCAAGAGCUGAGCAUGGCAGCAUGUUCACGGUUUGCAGAGAAAAGAAAGUCAGAAGGAAAGGUAUAUCCUAGUGACAACAACAUAAAGGCAAAUGGGGUCCUCUCUGGCAAGCUUGGCAAAGGACUCAAGCUAUGCAGUUCAAUAAGUGUCGACACCCACGUACCUGCAACUGCAGCUGAUGAAAAGAAUCCAGAACAGAAGCGUGUGCCUGUUUCAAUUGAUGUCCCAGAUCCUGACUUCCAUGAUUUUGAUAAGGAUCGCACAGAGAGAGCUUUUUAUAGCGACCAAGUAUGGGCUACAUAUGACAGUGAGGAUGGAAUGCCUCGUCUAUAUGCAAUGGUGCAGAAAGUUCUUUCAAUGAGACCUUUCAGAAUCCGCAUGAGUUUCCUCAAUUCCAAAUCCAAUAUUGAACUGUCGCCAAUAAACUGGGUUGCCUCUGGUUUCCAGAAAACAUGUGGCGAUUUUAGGGUUGGAAGGUACCAGAUUACGGAAACAGUCAACAUAUUUUCGCACAAAGUCAGCUGGACUAAAGGCCCCCGUGGGAUUAUCAGAAUUAUUCCUCAGAAAGGUGAUACAUGGGCUUUGUACCGAGACUGGUCUCCUGAUUGGAACGAGCUUACACCUGAUGAUGUGAUAUAUAAAUACGAGAUUGUCGAAGUUAUUGAUGAUUUCACUGAGGAGCAAGGGCUGACUGUCAUUCCAUUGUUGAAGGUUGCUGGCUUCAAAGCUGUGUUCCAUAGGCACAUGGACCCCAAGGAGGUCAGGAGGAUACCAAAGGGUGAGCUGUUUCGUUUCUCGCAUCAGGUUCCUUCUCGACUGCUGACUGGUGAAGAAGGCAACAAUGCCCCGGAAGGUUGUCAUGAGCUCGAUCCUGCUGCAACCCCAGUGGACCUUCUUAAGGUUAUUACAGAGGUGAAUGAAGACGUGGCGGCACAGACUGCUGAAUAG